Molecule: transfer RNA, 64 nt
Filed under: Arcovestia ivanovi
Lineage: Eukaryota; Metazoa; Annelida; Polychaeta; Sabellida; Siboglinidae
Description: tRNA-Pro
Source: RNAcentral
CAGAAAGUAGUUUAAAUAAAACCCUGCCUUUGGGAGGCAGAGAACCGUUCCUCCGGCUAUCUGA